This 196-nucleotide ribosomal RNA is filed under the name Deinococcus reticulitermitis. RNAcentral describes it as "23S rRNA. Bacterial LSU". It matches the Rfam family "Bacterial large subunit ribosomal RNA", at positions 1 to 213 of the family's 2925-position model. The record is from RNAcentral. Lineage: Bacteria; Thermotogati; Deinococcota; Deinococci; Deinococcales; Deinococcaceae.
AGUAGGUCAAGAUACUAAGGGUCCACGGUGGAUGCCCUGGCACUGGAGCCGAUGAAGGACGCGAUUACCUGCGAAAAGCCCCGACGAGCUGGAGAUACGCGUUGACUCGGGGAUGUCCGAAUGGGGAAACCCACCUCGCAAGAGGUACUCCGUAGAGGAGAGGGAACUCAGGGAACUGAAACAUCUCAGUACCUGA